AACGCUAGCUACAGGCUUAACACAUGCAAGUCGAGGGGCAGCAGGAACUUAGCUUGCUAAGUUUGCUGGCGACCGGCGCACGGGUGAGUAACGCGUAUCCAACCUGCCCAUUACUCGGGGAUAGCCUUGCGAAAGUAAGAUUAAUACCCGAUGUUGUUUGAUUGCCGCAUGACGGUCAAACCAAAGAUUUAUUGGUAAUGGAUGGGGAUGCGUGACAUUAGGUAGUUGGUGAGGUAACGGCUCACCAAGCCCACGAUGUCUAGGGGUUCUGAGAGGAAGGUCCCCCACACUGGAACUGAGACACGGUCCAGACUCCUACGGGAGGCAGCAGUGAGGAAUAUUGGUCAAUGGACGAGAGUCUGAACCAGCCAAGUAGCGUGCAGGACGACGGCCCUCUGGGUUGUAAACUGCUUUUAGUUGGGAAUAAAAAGAGGGACGUGUCCCUAAUUGUAUGUACCAUCAGAAAAAGGACCGGCUAAUUCCGUGCCAGCAGCCGCGGUAAUACGGAAGGUCCAGGCGUUAUCCGGAUUUAUUGGGUUUAAAGGGAGCGUAGACGGGGGAUUAAGUCAGUUGUGAAAGGCUGCGGCUCAACCGCAGCACUGCAGUUGAUACUGGUUUCCUUGAGUGCGGUUGAGGUGUAUGGAAUUCGUGGUGUAGCGGUGAAAUGCUUAGAUAUCACGAAGAACUCCGAUUG
RNAcentral lists this ribosomal RNA (694 nucleotides) under uncultured bacterium. Its description in RNAcentral is "bacterial SSU rRNA". It matches the Rfam family "Bacterial small subunit ribosomal RNA", at positions 32 to 715 of the family's 1533-position model. The record is from RNAcentral.